RNAcentral lists this long non-coding RNA (606 nucleotides) under Lathyrus oleraceus (garden pea). RNAcentral's name for it is "Pisum sativum (pea) long non-coding RNA (PSAT_LNC010120)". Lineage: Eukaryota; Viridiplantae; Streptophyta; Magnoliopsida; Fabales; Fabaceae. The record is from RNAcentral.
AGCAAAGCUUUGGGAGUUGUAGUAGAAACUUAUUUGAGUCAACAAACUAAAGCAAGUGCAAUGUAAUGAACAAGGGUGGAUAAGAUGGAAAAUAACAAGAGAAGAGCUUGGGAAGAAAGAGAAAAGAGUCAAACAAAAGAAACAAGGAGGUGGCAUAAGAAAAAAGAGGUUACCAAGAAUUGGAGAGUGUAGAGGAAUCCCUGGGAGUUGUAAUGAUCUCAAGUAGCAAAGGUAACAAUAAGGAAGGAAAUGAAAAAAGGAAAACGGCUCCACCCAAAUGGAAGCGACAAAGAGAAAACAAAACAAAGAUAACUAACACGUCAAAGAAGAUGGAGGUGGAAUUGGGGGAAAAGUAAAUUGUUUGAGGUUAAAAUAAAAAAUAGGACCCCUAUGGAUAUCUUAAGGGGAUACAAGAAGAGAAUACAAGAGGUUGAAGAUGGAGGAAUCAGUAAGAAUAAUGUACCAGAGGUGGUGUUGGAUGAUCAACACUGUCUACAACAAUGAAACUCUUUUGUUGGAACUAUAGGAGGUUAGAGAAUCACCGUACAUUUUGAGCCUUGCCAAGGCUCACAAGACUUGAAAUCCUAGUUUGGUGGUUUUUAAUGG